UACGAAGGGGGCUAGCGUUGCUCGGAAUCACUGGGCGUAAAGCGCACGUAGGCGGCUUUCUAAGUCAGGGGUGAAAUCCUGGAGCUCAACUCCAGAACUGCCUUUGAUACUGGAGAGCUCGAGUCCGGGAGAGGUGGGUGGAAUUCCUAGUGUAGAGGUGAAAUUCGUAGAUAUUAGGAAGAACACCGGUGGCGAAGGCGGCCCACUGGAUCGGUACUGACGCUGAGGUGCGAAAGCGUGGGGAGCAAACAGG
This 253-nucleotide ribosomal RNA is filed under the name uncultured prokaryote. RNAcentral describes it as "partial 16S ribosomal RNA". It matches the Rfam family "Bacterial small subunit ribosomal RNA", at positions 524 to 776 of the family's 1533-position model. The record is from RNAcentral.